AUUUUAGGUGUGACAUGCCAAAACGCAAGCGACUGUCUGAUGGGGAGGAAGGGGAAUCUACUGUUGCUACUCCAGUUGUAGAAGGGAGACCCAAGAGACGUCGAAAUGAUACAACACUGGUUGAUACAAUACAGUAUAUUUUUGAUGCAUUACGUAA
Molecule: long non-coding RNA, 157 nt
Organism: Penaeus monodon (black tiger shrimp)
Lineage: Eukaryota; Metazoa; Arthropoda; Malacostraca; Decapoda; Penaeidae
Exons: 2
Source: RefSeq, a predicted model, not a curated record